Molecule: transfer RNA, 73 nt
Filed under: Neotoma lepida (desert woodrat)
Lineage: Eukaryota; Metazoa; Chordata; Mammalia; Rodentia; Cricetidae
Rfam family: tRNA
About the family: Transfer RNA (tRNA) molecules are approximately 80 nucleotides in length.
Source: Rfam by way of RNAcentral
GCCCAGCUAGCUCAGUCGGUAGAGCAUGAGAUUCUUAAUUCCAGGGUCCUGGGUUUGAGCCCCACAUUGGGCA